RNAcentral lists this long non-coding RNA (403 nucleotides) under Physcomitrium patens. RNAcentral describes it as "long non-coding RNA (PPAT_LNC005343)". Lineage: Eukaryota; Viridiplantae; Streptophyta; Bryopsida; Funariales; Funariaceae. The record is from RNAcentral.
UUCUCUGUCUUCGACGGUAUUCAUUUAAUUGUUGCGCGCCUGUGCGGGAUUUGUACUAGGGUAUUCUGUAGCUGGCGUGGGUAAUCAGAGUAGAAGUUUUGCGAUUCUCCGUAUAAGAAAUUGACGAGCCACCUAUUCAUCGAAUUGUUUGGCCAAUUAGGGUUUUGGGAUUUAUUCUUUCGUCUCCAGUUACUGUGCGAUAUGUGCCUUGAGUGGCUCUAUUGAGGAAUUUUUCAUUUUAUAGACUUGGAGUAUGGGGUUUACCGUCCUCAGAGUUUUCCUCCUCUCUGCCUCCAUCAGCCUCUUGCUGCUCCCAGGCUUUUCAGCGAAAUUCGAGCCUUCUUCGAACGAGACUGCAUACGAUGGAAGAUACUCCAAGUUUAAGAUUGUUGUGGAGGAAACA